Molecule: ribosomal RNA, 521 nt
Filed under: uncultured bacterium
Lineage: Bacteria
Description: bacterial SSU rRNA
Rfam family: Bacterial small subunit ribosomal RNA
Source: RNAcentral
UCAGGGCGAACGCUGGCGGCGUGCCUAAUACAUGCAAGUCGAACGGUCUUUCUAUGGAAGCUUGCUUCCACUGAGAAGAUAGUGGCGAACGGGUGAGUAACACGUGGGUAACCUGCCCAUAAGAGGGGGAUAACAUCCGGAAACGGGUGCUAAUACCGCAUAGUUUUCUUGAUUGCAUGAUUGAGAAAGGAAAGACGGCCUUUGUGCUGUCGCUUAUGGAUGGACCCGCGGCGUAUUAGUUAGUUGGUGAGGUAACGGCUCACCAAGACGAUGAUACGUAGCCGACCUGAGAGGGUGAUCGGCCACAUUGGGACUGAGACACGGCCCAAACUCCUACGGGAGGCAGCAGUAGGGAAUCUUCCGCAAUGGACGAAAGUCUGACGGAGCAACGCCGCGUGAGUGAAAGAAGGUUUUCGGAUCGUAAAACUCUGUUGUCAGAGAAGAACAAGUUGGAGAGUAACUGCUCCAGCCUUGACGGUAUCUGACCAGAAAGCCACGGCUAACUACGUGCCAGCCGCCGC